Long non-coding RNA from Arabidopsis thaliana (thale cress), 387 nucleotides. RefSeq annotates it as other RNA. NCBI's taxonomy places the organism in Eukaryota, Viridiplantae, Streptophyta, Magnoliopsida, Brassicales, Brassicaceae. The transcript is spliced from 2 exons. The record is from RefSeq.
GCCGCGUAAUAUGGCCCAUAUAAAUUAAUUGGACUAAGAAAAACCUAAAAGUAAAUGGCAGCCGCCGGAGGUAACCUUAAUUCUCUGAGAUGAGUGUCUUUUGUGUAUUUAUAUGGUUUCGCGUUCUGCAAAUCGUAGGAGCUUCUUCUCUAUUAAUGUCUGAAUGAUAUAAUUCGUGAUCUUAGGGUUGAAUAUGGUGAUGAUACAAGAGUAUUGUGGACUAGAGUUUCAGAUCUGGGAUUCUUCUCCCAGAAGUUGAAGAUUAACCCUUGGCUGUCUGAGUAUUAAUUCCCCUUUCACUCAAUAUCUUAUCUUUUGAUUGAUUUGAAGAUAAAUUUCUCUGUUAUUGUUUUUUUUGUUGGUUGAUGUUUUUUUUUACUUAUGAGC